ACCUCACUUUAAAAAGUAAAAUAUAAUUUACUUGCCAAAAAAAGUGGAAAAAGAGAAAACCAAAGUCCCAAACUUACCUAAUUCUUCAGGUUUUGCAUUAAAUUCGCGAGUUCUUGAUAUAGAGUAAGUCCCACCAUUUUUGUCUGUUCACAAGAAAUUAAAUUGCUUACUCUCUUAUCAACUUACUCCCUUCUUUUUCUAAUGCUAUGACACUAAU
This 217-nucleotide long non-coding RNA is filed under the name Carica papaya (papaya). RNAcentral's name for it is "long non-coding RNA (CPAP_LNC008907)". Lineage: Eukaryota; Viridiplantae; Streptophyta; Magnoliopsida; Brassicales; Caricaceae. The record is from RNAcentral.